This is a small nucleolar RNA of Gossypium raimondii (Peruvian cotton), 107 nucleotides long. It matches the Rfam family "Plant small nucleolar RNA R71". Rfam says of the family: R71 is a member of the C/D box family of snoRNAs containing the C (UGAUGA) and D (CUGA) box motifs. Multiple nearly identical copies of this snoRNA have been identified in Arabidopsis, and it is thought to function as a 2'-O-ribose methylation guide for 18S ribosomal RNA. The record is from Rfam. Lineage: Eukaryota; Viridiplantae; Streptophyta; Magnoliopsida; Malvales; Malvaceae.
AAACCAUGCAUCGGGCAUUUUCUAAUUAAUUCCUUGAAUCUCUCCCAAGCUUCAUACAAAGUCUCAUCCUCAGAUUUCUGAAAAGAGGUAAUAUCAUUCCUUAAUUU